GAUCAUCUCAUGCACUGUAGGGGGACCUCGAGGAGCACAAAUGCGCCCAGUUACUGUGAUCAAACACCACAUAUCACACUGUAUGACACUCCCACCUGCAUCUCUUUGUCUCUGUAACUUCACUGGCAGUUAUGUGUUUGACUUUGACUUUCUGAACAUGGACAUCACACAACACUGUCUCCUCAGCUUGUUGUUAUUUCUGCUCUGGACAAAUGGUCUGACUGAUGGAAGUGAUGUCAAACAGACUGACAUACUGUGGAAAGACGAGGGUGACAGUGCAACAAUGAACUGCAGUCACACCAAGACUGCAGGCUUUUCCCAGAUGUACUGGUACAGACAGCUUCCAGGAGAAACAAUGGAACUUAUAGUGUACACAGCACUCGGCAAAGUUAAUCACGACUUUGGAAAUUUCAGUGAAAAGAAAUUCUCAGCCACCAAACCUGACUACAAGACUGGGACAUUCACAGUGAAGAAUCUGGAGCCAGGAGAUAAAGGCUUGUAUUUCUGUGCUGUGAGCGAACACAGUGAUACAGACACAUGAGAGCGCUGAACAAAAACCUCAGUGCACUGUUGGCAUCACUGUCACAUCGUCUCAUGCACUGUAGGGGGACCUCGAGGAGCACAAAUGUACCAAGUUACUGUGAUCAAACGCCACAUAUCACACUAUAUGACACUCCCACAUGCAUCUCUUUGUCUCUGUAACUUCACCGGCAGUUAUGUGUUCGACUCUGACUUUCUGAACAUGGACAUCACAAAACAUGGUCUCUCCAGCAUGCUGCUACUUCUGCUCUUGAUGAAAGGUGAAGUACAAAUGCACCAGUACUCUGCAGUAUUGACUAGAAUAUUCAAAGGAUAAUCAACAAAAAGUCAAAAAACAAAAAAAUGUUCUAUUUUAUGCAAAUUGAUAUGUACACCUCAGGUAUUGUUAACUGUUUUUCACACAGGUCUGACUGAUGGAAGUGAUGUCAAACAGACUGACAUGCUGUGGAAAGACGAGGGUGACAGUGCAACAAUGAACUGCAGUCACACAAAGACUGCCAGCUAUUACCAGAUGUACUGGUACAGACAGCUUCCAGGACAGACG
Molecule: non-coding RNA, 1084 nt
Organism: Acanthopagrus latus (yellowfin seabream)
Lineage: Eukaryota; Metazoa; Chordata; Actinopteri; Spariformes; Sparidae
Source: the annotation of a RefSeq genome assembly